RNAcentral lists this transfer RNA (72 nucleotides) under archaeon. Its description in RNAcentral is "tRNA-Thr". It matches the Rfam family "tRNA". Rfam says of the family: Transfer RNA (tRNA) molecules are approximately 80 nucleotides in length. Their secondary structure includes four short double-helical elements and three loops (D, anti-codon, and T loops). Further hydrogen bonds mediate the characteristic L-shaped molecular structure. tRNAs have two regions of fundamental functional importance: the anti-codon, which is responsible for specific mRNA codon recognition, and the 3' end, to which the tRNAs corresponding amino acid is attached (by aminoacyl-tRNA synthetases). tRNAs cope with the degeneracy of the genetic code in two manners: having more than one tRNA (with a specific anti-codon) for a particular amino acid; and 'wobble' base-pairing, i.e. permitting non-standard base-pairing at the 3rd anti-codon position. The record is from RNAcentral.
GCUUCGCUAGCUCAGGGGUAGAGCGUUUCAUUCGUAAUGAAACGGUCCGUAGUUCGAUUCUGCGGCGAAGCA